CGAACGAUCAGACAAAAAAAAGACGGCUCGGGCUUGCAGACAGAUCCCGGUGCUUCUGAAAACAGCCGACUGGCCACAAAGCUGACUCAUCUCCCUGCCUCUGCGCAAGAAUUAAGCAGGAAACCGCCUGAAAAAUUAUCAGGGGAAGAGCACAGAGCUUCCAAACCACCUUCCCAACAUAGAAGCCUGUCAGCAAGCUGAUCACUGUUACCGAAUCCAGAGGUGCUCUGCAAUCCAGUUUGCACAAGUCUCAGGGAGCAGCACGAAGGGGAAGCUUUGAUGGCAACCACAACACAGAACCCGUUAAUGUGUCUAAAUGGAAUUCAAAUGAUGAUUUGGGCUCUUGAGCGUGCUGACCCAGGGCUGAGCAAGAAGGCAGGUAGGCAAGAAAAGAGAGGAAAAGCUGAUGGGUGAGGGGAAGAGCUGUCAGGAAAAGAAAAAAAGCUUACCCCAAUCCAAAAUGCAUUCUUUUAAAAAAAAAUGUGUUAACUGUUGUUCUGCUAGGUAACUCCUUUGAAUUUUUGUUUGUUUGUUUGUUUCUUUUUAGGCAAUUGGGGUUAAGUGACUUGUCCAGGGUCACACGGCUAAUAAGUGUCAAGUGUUUGGUCUGAGGCCAGAUUUGAAUUCAGGCACUCCUGACUUCAGGGCUCUAUCUACUGCGCCACCUAGCUGCCCCCAACUCCUUUGAAUUUUAAAACUGAGAAAGAAAUCCAAUUAAUUUUUUUUUAAAGCCUUUUCUUUAUCAUGUAAACCAAGGAAACCUCUUGGCUAAGAAGGCAAGAUAUGGAAUAAAAUGAAAGUAAA
Molecule: long non-coding RNA, 804 nt
Filed under: Phascolarctos cinereus (koala)
Lineage: Eukaryota; Metazoa; Chordata; Mammalia; Diprotodontia; Phascolarctidae
Description: lncRNA (ENSPCIG00000030867.1)
Source: RNAcentral